ACUCUAUUUCUUGCUGGUGUAGUAAACUCAAGAAGAUUCCAAAGGCCUUAUGAGCAUGCUCUGCUACUAAUAAAGAAAGCUGAGGGGAACUCACCACACUCCUUAACUGCCAUAUUCAUGGAUCCUCUAUUGCUAAUCUUCACCACAUGUUAGCAAUAACACUGGUAAUGGCUGGGGUUACACAAAUACUGCCUCAAAGGACUGGAAAUGACUUAUCCAACACAACACCAGCCAGACUUACAGUAGAAUGCAUUAAAUUCCAUGGCAGCUAUGCUGUGAAAAAAUAUGGAGAAAUGCAGGCCUCAAGGAGCUUAUACAAAUUCAACUCCUAGUUAAUAAAAGGUUGCAAGCAGAACCUUGGAUGCCCUGCAGAGCAGAGACACUUUGCAAUGAUUGCUUGAGCCUUGUCUCCAGGGAAAACUGACUCACGAGAAGAAGACCACAGAGAUUUACUAAUUCAGGCUAGUUAGCUUCUUUAUUACAUUUGGUUUAAAGUGUGGUAUUCUAACUUUUC
Long non-coding RNA from Hemicordylus capensis (graceful crag lizard), 514 nucleotides. RefSeq lists it as uncharacterized. The record is from RefSeq and is a predicted model, not a curated record. The transcript has 3 exons. Lineage: Eukaryota; Metazoa; Chordata; Lepidosauria; Squamata; Cordylidae.